Homo sapiens (human) is the source of this 3127-nucleotide long non-coding RNA. RefSeq lists it as uncharacterized. The transcript is spliced from 2 exons. Lineage: Eukaryota; Metazoa; Chordata; Mammalia; Primates; Hominidae. The record is from RefSeq and is a predicted model, not a curated record.
GGGCUCUGAGCACAGGUGUGGCCCAAUUGACUCGUGAUGGGUGCUGGGGGCACAGUGUAGACGGUAGGGAAGGAGAGUGGGAGCCGGAAGCAGUGAUCCAGGUGGGAGUGGUGAGGGUUUGUACCAGGGAGUGGCGCUGGAGAACGGGGCAGGUGGGCUCUGACACCCAGAAAAGGUAGAGCCCACGGGAAGCCCCGUGGUGCCUCCGGAGUCUGUCACCCAUCGGCGCAGGUGCCUUUCCCCUUCCGUGCCCCAGCCAGUCUCACGUGCAUCCACGCUCCCAGUCCUGUCCCCACGUCACUGCCUCUGCCCUCCCGGGCCCCUCAGGAAGCCCCUGUCAAGCCUCUGGCCCUGUGGGGCUGGUUGCACCUGGGGGUCAGGGACAUGGGCAGGGCCCCCAGAACCCCAAAGCCCUGCGCGUCCCCACCCCUGUUGUGGCUCCAGCCUGGUGCUACCCUCCAUGGCCCUUGGGGACAUCAGAGAAACACAUCCUGGCUCAGGCAGGUGGCUCUCCGGGGGAGCUUUCCAACCACGGCUUCUUGUUUUAGUCUAAAUUAAACUGGGAUUUCUUUCCAGGACAUGUAAUUAGAGCCCAGCUUUCUCCCUGGACCCGGCCUCCUGUGGGUUGAAGAGAGGGUGUGUGGGUGUGUGGCCGCUGCACCAGGAGGGAGUCUGGUCAGCGGAGCUCAGGGGCCGAGGCACUGCUGACCCUGAGCUUCCUGGGCAACCACUGUGGCCUCCUGUUCUUUUGGGCUUUGUGGACGCAGGCCGAUUCAGAUGGUGGCAGGCACUUCUCAGGGAGAAGCCAGGCCCAGCUCAGGGCCCCACAGAGGGUCCCCAUGGGCAAGGAGGGUCCACCCAGGGGAGCAGCAGCCCAUGUGCAAGUGUGCGGCUCAGGGAUGACCUGACGCUGUGUCUGAAAACAGGUGACAGCCCAGAGACGCUGCCUUCCCGCAAGGCGACCUGACGCUGUGUCUGAACACAGGUGACAGCCCAGAGACGCUGCCUUCCCACAAGGCGACCUGACACUGUGUCUGAACACAGGUGACAAGAGACACUGUGCCCGAGGGGCCAGGACACGUUGGAGCAUGGACCGAGCUGGGUGUGUCCGUGCUGUGACGGAACUCUUCUGCCACAGGCUCUGCUUCAGCCUGGGGUCCUUGGACUGCAGCCCUGCGGGAGGUGCAGCACCCCGACCUCCAGUGCCGGGUCGGGCUGGGGUUUGCCAGACAUUCUCUCCCUUUCCCUACCAGAGUCUGGAAAUGGCCUUUGUAGGCCCUGACCCUCCCUCCCUCACCCCUAGUGUGGCUGGAACCGGUGGAGCGGGGGCUGAGUUCUGACAAGUCCCUGGAAAGCAGGGAGAGCCCCCGUGUUCUGGGGCUGGGGCUGGGAUCACUCCAGGCAUUGCCUGACUGGGGGCUCCACAGCCCCCCUCGUGUCAGUGAGAACCCACCAACUCCACCCCACAAUGCAGGGCCCUGGCCCACGUGCAGUCCAUGUGGUGUGGCUGUGAGGACCAGGUGGGGCGGUGGCGGGUGGCUGCUGAUCUAGGACCCUGUGACCAAGCUCUGGUGCCCCUUCCUGACAGUGGCCUCCCAUCGGGCCUCCAUGUCCGUGGGGACAGGCCUGGCAGCCAUGCUGGGGAUGUAACAGCCUGAGAAGGUGCUGCUCUGAUAGGGUGGGAUCCUGGCCCCCUCUUCAGCACACGCCCCUGGCUGGGUCCUUAUGGAGGGCCUGGCCCAUGCCCCCGCUCUCUUUCUCUGUGUCUCCCCCCUCCCUCUCUGCCUCCUUCCUGCAUUUCAGGGUUCUUAACACUCUCCUGGACUGGGGGGCAGAACUGGGCCCACUGAGAGCCCCCAGGGUCCCCUGAUUCUGUGCGGGGUGAGGGUCCACACUGCCCGGGCAUGAGACCUGGGGCUUGGCUGUGCUGUGCUUGGGAGGCUGACCCUGGCCUUGGGCUCCAGUCCUGUGGGGUCUUCUCUGGGGUCUCCGCGUCUCCAUGUGUGCUCUGCUGCCUGAGGAGCCCAAAUCCAGAGACUCCCUGGAUAGAAGCAGCGCGGGGCUGGCUCACUGGAUGGGCAUCGGGCCAGCGUUGCAGACGUCUGGGGCCUCUCAUAUGCCCGCCUGGCAUAGCCGACCCAAGGGAGGGUUGGCCUCUCUGCGGAUCUUUCACCAUGGGGACUGGAGAGCUGAAGGAGCCCAGGGCUGCCCUUGGAUACCGCAGACUUUCCCAGGGGGACGGGGGACAUGGGUGGGAGAUAAGGAAGGGAGGUUUCAGCUCAACCCAGAGAAGGACUUUCAUCAUUCAUGGGGGUCUGGGCUGCUGUCCUCAGGCAAGUGGGGACUGGACCAGGUGGUCUGUCCUUUACUCAUAUGUCCCUGAUAUGGGCCAGGUACUUGCUGGGCACGAUGGAGCCAGGGCCCUUCCCCCCAGGGUGCGUGUUCUGCCAACGGCAAAGUCCCCAUGCCACAGGAUCCACUCUGUGCUCCAGGCCUCUCCUCUCGACGGUGACUGCAGGCCGGGCUCCAGGGAUGGGCGGUUCUGCAGGUGUGCAGAGUCCCCCUUACGCAGGUGUGCACAGAGUCCCCCUUACACGCCUUUCUCUUCAGGGGUCCCACCAGGAGGGUCAGUCGGAGGCUUGAUUUCCUGCCCCAGCAGCUGGAGGGGUGGGGGUCCAGGGAGAGUGUGGUGGGGACAGUGAGCGGCAGAGCUGGAGGCCGUGAGGCUGGGGUGAGCUGUGUGAGAAGCCUUGAAGGUCACAGUUUGGGGAGUCUCAGCCCAGGACCCAGCUCUGAGGGGACAGUUCGGGAGGGAUGGGGCAGGUGGGCAGGGCGGCCUGGGGGCCUGGGACUGGCCAUGCUCGUCUCUCUCCGUGGUGCUGAUCUUUCCAGCUCUGCCUGUGGGUGGGGGAUGGAAGGGAGGGACACAGCUGUGUGGUGUCGGGGGCACACGCCCACUCCUGGGACCAUGGCUGGCCUGUGCGUGGCCAGGCAGGUUGGGCUCUCAGGGCGCAUGGCUACUUUAAAUUUUGGGUCUGUGGCUGUUGGGCUGAUGGAGCACAGCCAGGGAUCUGAGAUGGGCUCUAAACUUGCUGUCAGUAUUUAAGAAGGAACUUUCACGCAAAAA